UACGAAGGGGGCUAGCGUUGCUCGGAAUCACUGGGCGUAAACGGUGCGUAGGCGGGUCUUUAAGUCAGGGGUGAAAUCCUGGAGCUCAACUCCAGAACUGCCUUUGAUACUGAAGAUCUUGAGUUCGGGAGAGGUGAGUGGAACUGCGAGUGUAGAGGUGAAAUUCGUAGAUAUUCGCAAGAACACCAGUGGCGAAGGCGGCUCACUGGCCCGAAACUGACGCUGAGGCACGAAAGCGUGGGGAGCAAACAGG
Molecule: ribosomal RNA, 253 nt
Filed under: uncultured bacterium
Lineage: Bacteria
Description: partial 16S ribosomal RNA
Rfam family: Bacterial small subunit ribosomal RNA
Source: RNAcentral